AUACGUAGGUGGCGAGCGUUGUCCGGAAUUACUGGGCGUAAAGGAUGCGUAGGUGGAUAUUUAAGUGGGAUGUGAAAUCCCCGGGCUCAACCCGGGAACUGCAUUCCAAACUGGGUAUCUAGAGUGCAGGAGAGGAAAGCGGAAUUCCUAGUGUAGCGGUGAAAUGCGUGGAUAUUAGGAGUAACACCAGUGGCGAAGGCGGCUUCCUGGACUGUAACUGACACUGAGGACUGAAAGCGUGGGUAGCAAACAGGAUUAGAUCCCGUGGUAGUCCACGCCGUAAACGAUGGGUACGAGGUGUAGGAGGUAUCGACCCCUUCUGUGCCGUCGUUAACACAAUAAGGUCCCCGCCUGGGGAGUACGGUCGCAAGACUAAAACUCAAAUGAAUUGACGGGG
Molecule: ribosomal RNA, 397 nt
Filed under: uncultured bacterium
Lineage: Bacteria
Description: partial 16S ribosomal RNA
Rfam family: Bacterial small subunit ribosomal RNA
Source: RNAcentral